GACAAUUAAAGUGGUAUCAGAGCAUGGUUUAAAGAUUAGAGAUUUUGAUUUUAAAGCUUUGGAUUUUAAAGUUUUUGGUUUUAAAGUUGUUUUAAGAAAUCCACACUGACACUGCGUGGCCCGAGUUAAGUUAAGUUAGGUUUGAUAGAAUAGAAUACGUGCAUCUGCAUAUAGAAUUUGGAGUUGUUUAGACUUGUUUUGUUUCUUCUUAUAGAUCUUAUGGGAGCUAUAAGAACUCCUGUUCCCAAUAAU
This 252-nucleotide long non-coding RNA is filed under the name Theobroma cacao (cacao). Its description in RNAcentral is "long non-coding RNA (TCAC_LNC000912)". Lineage: Eukaryota; Viridiplantae; Streptophyta; Magnoliopsida; Malvales; Malvaceae. The record is from RNAcentral.